Molecule: ribosomal RNA, 501 nt
Filed under: uncultured bacterium
Lineage: Bacteria
Description: bacterial SSU rRNA
Rfam family: Bacterial small subunit ribosomal RNA
Source: RNAcentral
GAUUCUGGCUCAGAUUGAACGCUGGCGGCAUGCCUUACACAUGCAAGUCGAACGAGGGUAGCAAUACCUUAGUGGCGAACGGGUGAGUAAUAUAUCGGAACGUACCCUAGAGUGGGGGGACAACCAGUCGAAAGACUGGCUAAUACCGCAUACGAUCUCUGGAUGAAAGUGGGGGGACCUUCGGGCCUCACGCUCCUGGAGCGGCCGAUAUCUGAUUAGCUAGUUGGUGGGGUAAAGGCCCACCAAGGCGUCGAUCAGUAGCUGGUCUGAGAGGACGAUCAGCCACACUGGGACUGAGACACGGCCCAGACUCCUACGGGAGGCAGCAGUGGGGAAUUUUGGACAAUGGGGGCAACCCUGAUCCAGCAAUGCCGCGUGAAGUGAAGAAGGCCUUCGGGUUGUAAAGCUCUUUUGUCAGGGAAGAAACGGUGGGGGCUAAUAUCCUCUGCUAAUGACGGUACCUGGAGAAUAAGCACCGGCUAACUACGUGCCAGCCGCCGC